AUUGAACGCUGGCGGCAGGCCUAACACAUGCAAGUCGAGCGGAUGAAGGGAGCUUGCUCCUGGAUUCAGCGGCGGACGGGUGAGUAAUGCCUAGGAAUCUGCCUGCUAGUGGGGGAUAACGUCCGGAAACGGGCGCUAAUACCGCAUACGUCCUGAGGGAGAAAGUGGGGGAUCUUCGGACCUCACGCUAUCAGAUGAGCCUAGGUCGGAUUAGCUAGUUGGUGGGGUAAAGGCCUACCAAGGCGACGAUCCGUAACUGGUCUGAGAGGAUGAUCAGUCACACUGGAACUGGAACACGGUCCAGACUCCUACGGGAGGCAGCAGUGGGGAAUAUUGGACAAUGGGCGAAAGCCUGAUCCAGCCAUGCCGCGUGUGUGAAGAAGGUCUUCGGAUUGUAAAGCACUUUAAGUUGGGGGGAAGGGCAGUAAGUUAAUACCUUGCUGUUGUGACGUUACCAACAGAAUAAGCACCGGCUAACUUCGUG
This 484-nucleotide ribosomal RNA is filed under the name uncultured bacterium. RNAcentral describes it as "partial 16S ribosomal RNA". It matches the Rfam family "Bacterial small subunit ribosomal RNA", at positions 30 to 507 of the family's 1533-position model. The record is from RNAcentral.